AACCUGCAAGAGAGCUAAUCUCCUAUAUGGUCUUAGCUACCGGGAUCUAUACCCUGCAACUGUCAUCAGCUGGGCAUGAAGAACAGCAGGCGGCCAGCUAUAUUUAUUUCAGCUUAAUUCUCAAAGGGUAUAUAUACUUUGGUGAAGAUCGAUCGGUGCAUGGUUGAUUAGAGAGCCAACUGAAUGGGAUUUCGCUCAGUUUGAUCCUCAUCACAGUAGGUGCUUAAUUGGAGGGAGUAUGAAAAGCUGGCUUGCUUAAUUGUGCACCAUGCAGAUCAAGAGCAGGGAAUGCAAGAAAAUGCAGCAUAUGGUAUGUAAAAUGCACGAUGCUGGUGAGUAAUGUUUUAAUGCCCCUUAUUUGUUACUUUGGUUAAUUAAUUUCUACUUAAUUUUAUCCAGUUUUGCCUGAUCAGUACCCUACUUUAAUUGUUUCACUAUAUAAUUUGCACCCGGUUAUUACUAUAUUGUUGUAGUGUGUCUAUCUUACCAUUAAUAAGAUACUCCCUCCGUCCCUAAAUAUUUGACGCCGUUGACUUUUUUAAACAUAUUUGACCUUUCAUCUUAUUCAAAAAAUUUAAGUAAUUAUUAAUUCCUUUUCUAUCAUUUGAUUUAUUGUUAAAUAUACUUUUAUGUAUACAUAUAGUUUUACAUAUUUUAUAAAAGUUUUUGAAUAAAACGAACGGUCAAAUAUGUUUUAAAAAGUCAACGGCGUCAAACAUUUAGGGACGGAGGGAGUAAGAAGUAUAAGGCUAGUUUUUGUAACAUAUAUAGGGUAUCCACUAUAUAUCCCUCUAUUCCUUUGCAAUAGUACUGAACUGCUAUGCUUAUACUAGGACAUUAAUUACUUUGGUUACACAGUUGGGAGGUGUCAGUUUAGUCCAGUGGCUGUAGCACAAUGUUGUCUUUUGAGGUGAUUUUUUUCAUCAAGUUUAUUUUGCAUGAUACUCCCUGAUCAUUAAGAUUUCUUAGCAACAUUUAUGAAACCACAUUAAAAAAAGGACGUACGCAUAGGCAGAUAUAUAGCCCGUGCUUCACUUGAAGAUUUGUCAUUCAUGCCUCAAUUUUCACUAGCUAACACAGAACGUUUAUGUGUACAAUAAUCCAUCUCUCUUUUAUGGUUUUUAUGUGUGUGACCACGUUCUUACUAGAUGCACGAAAAUUAUCAUUUUAGAGUUUUACAGUUUAUGGAAUGCUUGUGUGUGUGUGUUGCAAAUGCUCAGUUUAUGGAUGAUCUAGCAACAGCUAAAAUGAUGCUACGGAUUAAUAUUAUUGUUUUUCUAUCUGAAACAAAUAGAUCAUCAGGCAAUACACACAUCAAUUGAGGAACAACAGCUAGCACACAACUUAUUUCAUGACCACGUUCUUAAUUAGUUUCUUACUAGAUGCAUGAAAACCAUCAUUUUAGAGUUUUACACUUUAUGAAAUGCAUGACAGAUUUCAAUCCUAGUGAUAGUAGAAAAUUUUCAAAUAAGCUAGCUGGUGCAAAAUGGUUUCUGCGGCCGCUAUGCAUGUCAUUCCCAUUCCCCAGAAGUUGAUAUUGUUAACUGUUAGGUGCAAACGUUGCAAGCAAAGCGCGCAUGACACACACAGCCAGAGGGCUUCAUGCAUGUUAUUAAUUACGAUGGAACAAAUUACUCCGAUCCCAUUUUAGCGCAUGAAAAGAUGGUUUUUGCUAACCAGCCAUCUUAAAAUGGAUUCAUUUGCAAUUGAACAGUAUAAAUUUACAUAUUAAUUGUAUUGUUUUAUGCUCUACUUCCUUCUCACGGCGAGAGUCCUGCUACUAUACUGCUGGUCAGUCGGACCGAGCCAUGAUCCGGAAGACCGGAAGGGAGUCAUUCAUGAUCUCCCUCUUAAAACAAUUAAUAAGGCUAGCUUGAAGCUUCUGAUCAUUAAUUAACCUACGAUCCGUCUAGCUAUACUAAGCUACUCUUCGCUAAUCUGCUUAACAACUUUCAGGAAGUUUUUUUCAAGUAUGUACUAUGGAUUGAAUGGCUGCUUAUACAUAUGUACUGUGAAGAAUUACCGUGUAUAUGUAUGCAGGGGCAGAUAUACUUUGGGGGUGGCGGGGGCUCAAGCCUCUACUGUUAGUACCAGGACUAUGAGAGUUCUACGAAACCUCCACUAAAUUUUUUAUUUUGCCAUACGUAUAUGAGAAGAGGGUUAUAGUUUUAUUUAAUUAGUUUGUUCAGAUUCCUUGUUAUUUUUUCAUGGAUCUACCACCGUGUUUAUGAAUAAAUUUUGGUACUCC
Molecule: small RNA, 2248 nt
Filed under: Oryza sativa Japonica Group (Japanese rice)
Lineage: Eukaryota; Viridiplantae; Streptophyta; Magnoliopsida; Poales; Poaceae
Description: sRNA Os02g0166200
Source: RNAcentral